Molecule: ribosomal RNA, 201 nt
Filed under: uncultured bacterium
Lineage: Bacteria
Description: partial 16S ribosomal RNA
Rfam family: Bacterial small subunit ribosomal RNA
Source: RNAcentral
ACGCUCGACACCUACGGGAGACAGCAGUGGGGAAUAUUGCACAAUGGGGGAAACCCUGAUGCAGCGACGCCGCGUGAAGGAAGAAGUAUUUCGGUAUGUAAACUUCUAUCAGCAGGGAAGAAGAAAGUGACGGUACCUGACUAAGAAGCCCCGGCUAACUACGUGCAAGCAGCCGCGGUAAUCUGAGCGGGCUGGCAAGGC